RNAcentral lists this ribosomal RNA (587 nucleotides) under uncultured bacterium. RNAcentral describes it as "partial 16S ribosomal RNA". It matches the Rfam family "Bacterial small subunit ribosomal RNA", at positions 355 to 1375 of the family's 1533-position model. The record is from RNAcentral.
UGGGGAAUUUUGGACAAUGGGCGAAAGCCUGAUCCAGCAAUGCCGCGUGUGUGAAGAAGGCCUUCGGGUUGUAAAGCACUUUUGUCCGGAAAGAAAUCCUUGGCUCUAAUACAGUCGGGGGAUGACGGUACCGGAAGAAUAAGCACCGGCUAACUACGUGCCAGCAGCCGCGGUAAUACGUAGGGUGCAAGCGUUAAUCGGAAUUACUGGGCGUAAAGCGUGCGCAGGCGGUUUGCUAAGACCGAUGUGAAAUCCCCGGGCUCAACCUGGGAACUGCAUUGGUGACUGGCAGGCUAGAGUAUGGCAGAGGGGGGUAGAAUUCCACGUGUAGCAGUGAAAUGCGUAGAGAUGUGGAGGAAUACCGAUGGCGAAGGCAGCCCCCUGGGCCAAUACUGACGCUCAUGCACGAAAGCGUGGGGGAGCAAACAGGAUUAGAUACCCCUGGUAGUCCACGCCCUAAACGAUGUCAACUAGUUGUUGGGGAUUCAUUUCCUUAGUAACGUAGCUAACGCGUGAAGUUGACCGCCUGGGGAGUACGGUCGCAAGAUUAAAACUCAAAGGAAUUGACGGGGUCAUAGCUGUUUCCU